GGUUGUGGCUCAGUGGUAGAGUGCUUGCCUAGCAUGUGUGAGGCACUGGGUUCAAUCCCUGGCACCA
This 67-nucleotide transfer RNA is filed under the name Marmota monax (woodchuck). RNAcentral describes it as "tRNA.Ala". The record is from RNAcentral. Lineage: Eukaryota; Metazoa; Chordata; Mammalia; Rodentia; Sciuridae.